Molecule: ribosomal RNA, 635 nt
Filed under: uncultured Marinobacter sp.
Lineage: Bacteria; Pseudomonadati; Pseudomonadota; Gammaproteobacteria; Pseudomonadales; Marinobacteraceae
Description: bacterial SSU rRNA
Rfam family: Bacterial small subunit ribosomal RNA
Source: RNAcentral
CGCCUGGGGAGUACGGCCGCAAGGUUAAAACUCAAAUGAAUUGACGGGGGCCCGCACAAGCGGUGGAGCAUGUGAUUUAAUUCGACGCAACGCGAAGAACCUUACCUGGCCUUGACAUCCAGAGAGCUUUCCAGAGAUGGAUUGGUGCCUUCGGGAACUCUGAGACAGGUGCUGCAUGGCCGUCGUCAGCUCGUGUCGUGAGAUGUUGGGUUAAGUCCCGUAACGAGCGCAACCCCUAUCCCUGGUUGCUAGCAGGUAAUGCUGAGAACUCCAGGGAGACUGCCGGUGACAAACCGGAGGAAGGUGGGGAUGACGUCAGGUCAUCAUGGCCCUUACGGCCAGGGCUACACACGUGCUACAAUGGCGCGUACAGAGGGCUGCCAACUCGCGAGAGUGAGCCAAUCCCUUAAAACGCGUCGUAGUCCGGAUCGGAGUCUGCAACUCGACUCCGUGAAGUCGGAAUCGCUAGUAAUCGCGAAUCAGAAUGUCGCGGUGAAUACGUUCCCGGGCCUUGUACACACCGCCCGUCACACCAUGGGAGUGGAUUGCACCAGAAGUAGUUAGUCUAACCUUCGGGAGGACGAUUACCACGGUGUGGUUCAUGACUGGGGUGAAGUCGUAACAAGGUAACCGUA